This is a long non-coding RNA of Ostrea edulis (European flat oyster), 876 nucleotides long. RefSeq lists it as uncharacterized. The record is from RefSeq and is a predicted model, not a curated record. NCBI's taxonomy places the organism in Eukaryota, Metazoa, Mollusca, Bivalvia, Ostreida, Ostreidae. The transcript has 5 exons.
UUUGAUGAAAUUCAUUUGAAGGACCAAAUCAUGAGGAAGUCUAUUUUUUAGAAUUAUGUACUAGUAUAUCCAUGUCUUGUAGAUUCAUAGUUAACAUCACGACCCCUGAGUCCAGCUAGGGGAAGAUGCACUAUAUCCACCUGCGGGGUUUCAUUGUGGGGCACAUCACCAACAUGCAUCAUUUAGUGAUGUUGUCCACUUAGUCACUGAUGGGGAUCGUAGCACCUACCCUGUACACAGACAUUGAUGGGGAUCGUAGCACCUACCCUGUACACAGACAUUGAUGGGGAUCAUAGCACCUACCCUGUACACGGACAUUGAUGGGGAUCGUAGCACCUACCCUGCACACAGACAUUGAUGGGGAUCAUAGCACCUACCCUGCACACAGACAUUGAAUGGUUAUGGAGCUGCCUGGUCCAUUAUUAGAAUAGUGGGCGGCACUGUGCGUCCGAUCAGUGAAGUUUCUCGAGAAGCAUUACGAGGAACUUGUAUGAAUGGGCAGAAGAAAUGUUCAUGAAUCACCAGUCCAUCAUUGCCUACUGUUGUUGGAGGAUGAACACUUUAAUGAACAUUGAUGGAGUGUAGCAAUCAAUGGGAGCCCUCGUUUACCCUAAGAAGAGUCAGAGAACUCCUGGGCCUUCAUGAGAUCGUGACACCCUGCAGUAGGGGCAGUUCAUACCAGUAUCUCUUAAAAGCAGACAAAGGUUUUCUUAGCAUCUGAUCCAUUUCUGGGACAAACUUUUCUAUGGAGCUGGACGGUGGAGAUUUAGAUAAGUGGUGUGAUGUUAUUGAUGGUAAACAGAAGACUGUGACCUUGAAUCUGAAGAUCUGUGAUGAAGACUGGACGUUUGGGGUCACUCUGUUACAGUACUACAA